AGAGUUUGAUCCUGGCUCAGGACGAACGCUGGCGGCGUGCCUAAUACAUGCAAGUCGAGCGGAUUCCUUCGGGAAUCAGCGGCGGACGGGUGAGUAACACGUGGGCAAUCUGCCUGUUAGACUGGAAUAACGCCUGGAAACGGGUGCUAAUGCCAGAUAGGCAUCUUUGUUGCAUGACAGAGAUGGGAAAGGUGCUUUGGCACUACUGACAGAGGAGCCCGCGGCGCAUUAGCUAGUUGGUGGGGUAACGGCCUACCAAGGCGACGAUGCGUAGCCGACCUGAGAGGGUGACCGGCCACACUGGGACUGAGACACGGCCCAGACUCCUACGGGAGGCAGCAGUAGGGAAUCUUCCGCAAUGGGCGCAAGCCUGACGGAGCAACGCCGCGUGAGCGAAGAAGGCCUUCGGGUUGUAAAGCUCAGUCACUCGGGAAGAGCGGACAGGAGAGGGAAUGCUCCUGUCGAGACGGUACCGGGAGAGGAAGCCCCGGCUAACUACGUGCCAGCAGCCGCGGUAAUACGUAGGGGGCAAGCGUUGUCCGGAAUCACUGGGCGUAAAGCGUGCGUAGGCGGUUUGUUAAGUCUGAAGUGAAAGUCCAGGGCUCAACCUUGGGAUUGCUUUGGAAACUAGCAGACUUGAGUACUGGAGAGGCAAGGGGAAUUCCACGUAGCGGUGAAAUGCGUAGAUAUGUGGAGGAAUACCAGUGGCGAAGGCGCCUUGCUGGACAGAAACUGACGCUGAGGCACGAAAGCGUGGGGAGCAAACAGGAUUAGAUACCCCGGUAGUCC
Molecule: ribosomal RNA, 789 nt
Filed under: uncultured bacterium
Lineage: Bacteria
Description: bacterial SSU rRNA
Rfam family: Bacterial small subunit ribosomal RNA
Source: RNAcentral